Molecule: ribosomal RNA, 440 nt
Filed under: uncultured bacterium
Lineage: Bacteria
Description: partial 16S ribosomal RNA
Rfam family: Bacterial small subunit ribosomal RNA
Source: RNAcentral
CCUACGGGAUGCAGCAGUGGGGGAUAUUGCACAAUGGGGGGAACCCUGAUGCAGUGAAGCCGCGUGUGGGAAGACGGUCCUCUGGAUUGUAAACCACUGUCCCCAGGGACGAAAAUGACGGUACCUGGGGAGGAAGCUCCGGCUAACUACGUGCCAGCAGCCGCGGUAAUACGGAGGGAGCGAGCGUUGUCCGGAAUUACGGGGUGUAAAGGGAGCGUAGGCGGGGAUGCAAGUUGGGUGUAAAAACUACCGGCUCAACUGGUAGUCGCACUCAAAACUGCAGCUCUUGAGUGAAGUAGAGGCAGGCGGAAUUCCUAGUGUAGCGGUGAAAUGCGUAGAUAUUAGGAGGAACACCAGUGGCGAAGGCGGCCUGCUGGGCUUUUACUGACGCUGAGGCUCGAAAGUGUGGGGAGCAAACAGGAUUAGAUACCCCGGUAGUC